RNAcentral lists this ribosomal RNA (407 nucleotides) under alpha proteobacterium oral taxon A23. RNAcentral's name for it is "bacterial SSU rRNA". It matches the Rfam family "Bacterial small subunit ribosomal RNA", at positions 29 to 484 of the family's 1533-position model. Lineage: Bacteria; Pseudomonadati; Pseudomonadota; Alphaproteobacteria. The record is from RNAcentral.
AACGAACGCUGGCGGCAGGCCUAACACAUGCAAGUCGAGCGCGCCUUCGGGUGAGCGGCGGACGGGUGAGUAACACGUGGGAAUAUGCCUUUCGGUGCGGAAUAGUCUUGGGAAACUGAGGGUAAUACCGCAUAUGCCCCUUGGGGGAAAGAUUUAUCGCCGAAAGAUUAGCCCGCGUUGGAUUAGGUAGUUGGUGGGGUAAUGGCCUACCAAGCCGACGAUCCAUAGCUGGUUUGAGAGGAUGAUCAGCCACACUGGGACUGAGACACGGCCCAGACUCCUACGGGAGGCAGCAGUGGGGAAUCUUAGACAAUGGGGGCAACCCUGAUCUAGCCAUGCCGCGUGAGUGAUGAAGGCCUUAGGGUUGUAAAGCUCUUUCAGCUGGGAAGAUAAUGACGUACCAGCAG